UACGGGGGGGGCAAGCGUUGUUCGGAAUUACUGGGCGUAAAGGGCUCGUAGGUGGCCAACUAAGUCAGACGUGAAAUCCCUCGGCUUAACCGGGGAACUGCGUCUGAUACUGGAUGGCUUGAGUUCGGGAGAGGGAUGCGGAAUUCCAGGUGUAGCGGUGGAAUGCGUAGAGAUCCGGAAGAACACCGGUGGCGAAGGCGGCCUGCUGGGCAGUGGCUGACACUGAGGCGCGACAGCGUGGGGAGCAAACAGG
This 253-nucleotide ribosomal RNA is filed under the name uncultured bacterium. RNAcentral describes it as "partial 16S ribosomal RNA". It matches the Rfam family "Bacterial small subunit ribosomal RNA", at positions 524 to 776 of the family's 1533-position model. The record is from RNAcentral.